UGCUGACCUGUGACUUCCAGUCUG
RNAcentral lists this non-coding RNA (24 nucleotides) under Mus musculus (house mouse). Lineage: Eukaryota; Metazoa; Chordata; Mammalia; Rodentia; Muridae. The record is from RNAcentral.